Molecule: long non-coding RNA, 391 nt
Organism: Acipenser ruthenus (sterlet)
Lineage: Eukaryota; Metazoa; Chordata; Actinopteri; Acipenseriformes; Acipenseridae
Exons: 3
Source: RefSeq, a predicted model, not a curated record
UGCAUACUGUAAAUUUGUUCCUGAUAAUUGCAUAUUCCAUGACACUGUUUAGAAUUUGUGAUUCAUUUACUGCCACUGUGUUACCUCAAUAUUGUGUGUAUUGUUAUGUAUAAUUUGCAUUAAUGAAUUCUAAAGUUUACAGCUUCUCAGAAACCCCUCAAAAGAAAUAUGGCAUCAGUUGACUUACAACAGUCACCAUCUACCAUUUCAAAAAUGCCCCAAAUUAAUUCAGUUUAUACUGAAACCCAAACGACAAAGAAGGCACAAGAAAUUAAAACAAGCCUGUCAAAAAGAGAAGCUUUCAGAGAUCAAGAUGUCCAAAGCCCUGGCAAUCCCUUUGUCAUACCUUUACACCAGGAUUUAUUUUUUAUGGGAGAAAAACUUCAGAAAA